RNAcentral lists this signal recognition particle RNA (299 nucleotides) under Saimiri boliviensis boliviensis (Bolivian squirrel monkey). RNAcentral describes it as "Metazoan signal recognition particle RNA (ENSSBOG00000002190.1)". It matches the Rfam family "Metazoan signal recognition particle RNA". From Rfam's summary of the family: The signal recognition particle (SRP) is a universally conserved ribonucleoprotein. It is involved in the co-translational targeting of proteins to membranes. The eukaryotic SRP consists of a 300-nucleotide 7S RNA and six proteins: SRPs 72, 68, 54, 19, 14, and 9. The record is from RNAcentral. Lineage: Eukaryota; Metazoa; Chordata; Mammalia; Primates; Cebidae.
GCCGGGUGAGGUGGCGUGUGCUUGUAGUCCCAGCUACUCGGGAGGUUGGGAUGGGAGGAUUGCUUGAGCCCAGGAGUUCUGGACUGUAGUGCACUAUGCCAAUUGGGUGUCUGCACUAAUUUCGGCAUCAAUAUGGUGACCUCCCGGGAGCGGGGGACCACCAGGUUGUCUAAGGAAGAGUGAACUGGCCCAGGUUGGAAACAGAGCAGGUCAAAACUCCCAUGCUGAUCAGUAGCGGGAUUGAACCUGUGAACAGUCACUGCACUCCAGCCUGGGCAGAAUAGUGAGACCCCAUCUCU